This is a long non-coding RNA of Pangasianodon hypophthalmus (striped catfish), 1680 nucleotides long. RefSeq lists it as uncharacterized. The transcript has 3 exons. NCBI's taxonomy places the organism in Eukaryota, Metazoa, Chordata, Actinopteri, Siluriformes, Pangasiidae. The record is from RefSeq and is a predicted model, not a curated record.
UUCUGAUUGCUUUUGACUGCAGGUUCAGCAGCAGGUUCGUGUUCGGCAGAUGUUUGUUUUGUCUCCUUUGCUCUGAAGUUUGAAGAAAACACAAAGAGAAGGGAAAUAGGACAUUACUCCAUCGUCACCUGAAGAACAGGAGCAAGAGACACAGUACAGCACUGAUACUUUCCAAGCAGCGCCGCCGGUGUCCUGCGCAUCAUUCCAGAUCCUGUGAUUGGACAACCGACCGGUCGAUCUUCCCUGUCAACGUGAUGACGACACCCAUCUCUGAACCAAUCAGGCACCCCCAGUCUACUAUAAGGACUCGGAAAUGACACAAGACGGGAGAGUGUGUUUCUCCUUUGCUGAUAGUUCUCGCUUGUUUGUCACGCUGUCCAUCCUUUUCGAGUUUCUGGUGCAAUUAUGAUUUGUUAGUUUAUCUUGAGUUAUUUCUGAUCGCUCCCUUUACUCUACAUGUUGUAUUUACUCGCCUCUGAUUUGACUCUGGCUGUUUGCCCGAUUGUGCUGUGAUCUGAUUCCCUUUCUCUCUUUAAGAGUUGAUGGUUGGAUUUAUCUCUUGACUCAUAGUGUUGAGAUGAGGUUAGUAUGUCACGUGACCUACACAAAGCAACAUGUAGAAUAUCGCUUGUAUAAAAACACUAGGAUAGGAGCGGGAGCUAAUGCUUGUAUUUAUGUUUUGUUAGUGAGAGUAGUUAGUUGGCGUUUACGCCGAAGUUUUGUGGACAUAAUUCCUCACUAAAGUUUUUCUGAUAAGCAUUUUCGGUUUCUGUUUGAUUCAUUACUCCACACAUCUCAUUCCUUUAGUAACAGACAGCCUCCCCGAUUCUAAAAACAUCUUUAAUUUCUUUUUCAUUAAUUUAUUCUUUGUGUUCACUUCCUACAUCCCUGGACGCUAAUUUUGACAACAACAACCAAAUAGAAAGUCGUAGCAUACAUGCUCAUGUCAAGUAACUUUAGCAGUUUUACACACUCUCAGUACUGUUUGACUUUAUAGCAUGCAGCUGUGGAUCAGCAGUGAGGAGGUGUUUCCUCUCAGUCUGGUUCCUCUCAAGGUUUCUUCCUCAUGUCAUUUCAGAGAGUCUUUUCUUGCCACCAUUGCCUCUGACUUUCUCAUUAGGGAUCUAAAUCUAUAUCUGGAUUUCUGUAAAGCUGCUUUGUGACAGUGUCCAUUGUUAAAAGCGCUAUAUAAAUGAAAUAAAAUUUAAUUGAAUUUAAAAGAGGAGUGAAAUCUUGCUGCUGCAUUUGUGUUUGUUGUAUACUGGGUUACGAGGACCAGUCCAAAAUCUUUGCAAAACUAAAGUGCACAUACAAGCAAAUGUACAUUAUAUAUAUAUAUACAUAUAAGUAUAUGUAGAUUUUCCUGGAACUUAUUUGAACUCUUGGUAAGUAAUUAAUCUCUUGGAUUAAUAUAUGUAUGUGUGUGUGUAAUAAAUAUAUAUAUAUAUAUAUAUAAAACGUAGAGAGAGAGAGAGAGCAAGCAAGCAGAACAUAGACUCUGAACAGGCAGGGUUAGUGCAAACAAACAUGUAUUUAUUUAGUGGAGUUGUGAUGGGGAAUGGUGGUGCUGGUGGAGGGAGAGUGGGUGUGGCUGGCUUUCUGGACUGUGGGCUGCAGUGAGGAAUGGGACAGGAGGGUCGCUAUAUAUAUGUAGCUAUAUAUAGGGUCGCGGUGGCACGG